Molecule: long non-coding RNA, 594 nt
Organism: Pseudopipra pipra
Lineage: Eukaryota; Metazoa; Chordata; Aves; Passeriformes; Pipridae
Exons: 3
Source: RefSeq, a predicted model, not a curated record
UUUCUUUCUUCUUAGAACAACCUCCAAAUAACCAAGGCCAGUCGACCCUGCAGCCUUUGCCACCUUCUCACAAGCAACAUUCAGCACAGCAUCACCCAUCCAUCACCUCACUUAACAGAAACUCACUGACAAAUAGGAGGAAUCAGAGUCCGGCCCCGCCGGCUGCUUUGCCCGCCGAGCUGCAAACCACACCUGAGUCAGUCCAGCUGCAGGACAGCUGGGUCCUUGGCAGUAAUGCACCACUGGAAAGCAGAGAAUUAGAAAAUCAAGCAGUCCUUGCAAAUGGUCAUGACAGCCUUAUAGAGAUGGAUGUGUUUUCUCCAACAUAUCACGAUAGCAGUUAUGGUUGCAUGUCUGCAGUUGAGUUUGCCAUCCCAGUAAGUGCGGCUCGAGUUGAACCAGAAAGGAAUUUUAACAGAUUCUGGAGAUUCUUUCUGUCACAUUCAAACAGGUGAGGAAACAAUAUCAAAUGUAAUGGCAAAACAAAGACCUGGAUGACUGUAUAGUGUCUGUAUGCCACAUCUCUGAUAAUACUGAUUGCAGAAAGAGAAGUCCAGCUCCAAAAAGGCCUGUGUGGAAAUGAGUACCAUUAAA